This 407-nucleotide ribosomal RNA is filed under the name actinobacterium SCGC AAA027-A19. Its description in RNAcentral is "bacterial SSU rRNA". It matches the Rfam family "Bacterial small subunit ribosomal RNA", at positions 364 to 783 of the family's 1533-position model. Lineage: Bacteria; Bacillati; Actinomycetota; Actinomycetes. The record is from RNAcentral.
UUGGGCAAUGGACGAAAGUCUGACCCAGCGACGCCGCGUGCGGGAUGAAGGCCUUCGGGUUGUAAACCGCUUUCAGCAGGGAAUAAGCGCAAGUGAAGGUACCUGCAGAAGAAGCACCGGCUAACUAUGUGCCAGCAGCCGCGGUAAUACAUAGGGUGCAAGCGUUGUCCGGAAUUAUUGGGCGUAAAGAGCUCGUAGGUGGUUUGUUACGUCGGUUGUGAAAUUCAGGGGCUCAACCCCUGACUUGCAGCCGAUACGGGCAAGCUAGAGUUUGGUAGGGGAGACUGGAAUUCCUGGUGUAGCGGUGGAAUGCGCAGAUAUCAGGAGGAACACCGAUGGCGAAGGCAGGUCUCUGGGCCAAUACUGACACUGAGGAGCGAAAGCGUGGGGAGCGAACAGGAUUAGAU